This 329-nucleotide unclassified non-coding RNA is filed under the name soil metagenome. RNAcentral's name for it is "partial contains 5.8S ribosomal RNA, internal transcribed spacer 2, and large subunit ribosomal RNA". The stretch from base 1 to 120 matches the Rfam family "5.8S ribosomal RNA", at positions 35 to 154 of the family's 154-position model. The record is from RNAcentral.
GAUGAAGAACGCAGCGAAAUGCGAUAAGUAGUGUGAAUUGCAGGAUUCAGUGAAUCAUCGAAUCUUUGAACGCACAUUGCGCCCCUUGGUAUCCCGAGGGGCAUGCCUGUUCGAGCGUCAUUUCACCACUCAAGCCUGGCUUGGUGUUGGGCGACGUCCUCUUUGGGGACGCGCCUCGAAACGCUCGGCGGCGUGGCACCGGCUUUAAGCGUAGCAGAAUCUUUCGCUUUGGAAGUCGGGGCCCCGUCUGCCGGAAGACCUGCUCGCAAGGUUGACCUCGGAUCAGGCAGGGAUACCCGCUGAACUUAAGCAUAUCAAUAAGCGGAGGA